GGAGUAACAUGGCAGAAGACUUAGAAGUUGAGAAGACACCAACAAUACAGAACACUGAAUCUACUCUUCCUAAGAAAAGGAGAACUCUUCUGAUUGAGGAGACAAUGCUUACAAGUUAGCACAGGACUACAGACUUUCCAAGGGGCACAACUGAAAAAAAAAUCCCUGAAAUAUAUUUGAAUUACAGAAGAAGGUACCACUUGGCACAUGAUCAGGAUACAAAGUUCACUCUGGAACACUCCUCGUGGACCAUAUUCCUAACGGAGCAGUAGUGACUGUGGGAAUAAACACCCCACACCACUCCAGGCUGACAGAAGCCCAGGUAAGAAGCACAGAGCUGGUUGCCAGAUAGAAGGACUGAUUUAUUUUUAGCUGAAAGACCUUGGAAGAGUUUUUAGAAUAAGUCCCUUGAUCUUACAAACAAGAAGCUGAGUCACUUGUCCAAACUCUCGUAGCUAUUUGUGGCAAAGAACCCGCCCUUCUCAUGGACUUUCC
This is a long non-coding RNA of Perognathus longimembris pacificus (Pacific pocket mouse), 495 nucleotides long. RefSeq lists it as uncharacterized. The transcript has 3 exons. Lineage: Eukaryota; Metazoa; Chordata; Mammalia; Rodentia; Heteromyidae. The record is from RefSeq and is a predicted model, not a curated record.